RNAcentral lists this long non-coding RNA (16762 nucleotides) under Triticum aestivum (bread wheat). RNAcentral's name for it is "long non-coding RNA (TAES_LNC008756)". Lineage: Eukaryota; Viridiplantae; Streptophyta; Magnoliopsida; Poales; Poaceae. The record is from RNAcentral.
ACACUACGAAAUUAAAAAACGGACAUGUGAAACAUUAUAUACUUAAAUCAUAGUCAAGAGCGCAUGCAUUGUUACAUAAGAACAUGUAUGCGACAUUGACCAAGGUGAUGUUGUAGCAUUCCGAACCACUUUUCAUAAUCUGAAUAAAAAACAAUCAUAUCACAUAAUUAUAUUAAAGCAUAGAAAUGUGCAAUAUUGCAAGUGUGAUCAGCCAAUAAAAAAUAAUUGCUAAAACAGUUUGCUAAGUGCGCUAUAGUCACACAAAUACAUCACAAUCAGAAAUUGGCCAAGAAAACUUAAAUGAAAAAUAAAACACAAAUAAAAAUACUAUAUGUAGAUCUCGCGCAUAAGAGAGUAUACACAAAAAUUGGCCAAAAGAUCUUACAUGAAAAAGAGAAGGCAAAUAAAAAUACAAAAAAAGUCGCAUACAUAAGGCAUAUAUACAACAAUUGGCCAAGAGAGCUUACAUGAAAAAAGAAAAUAUAAAAAAAAUUACAUGAUACAGAAUUGCAUACAUAAGAGAAUAUACACAAGUUCUAGAAGUCUUGCAUGCACAUGAAUAUGAGACCCGAGAGAGAUAUAGGAUACAGUAUAAUGACCCAACAUAAUUUAACUGAUAGAAGGAACAAAUAUUGUAGAACAGAAGAAAAGCAGAAGAGAUAACGCACAAUGGCAGUUGGUUCACUAAGCUAGACUACUGUCAAAAAUGACAUGCUUUGCAUCAGCCUCCUUACAACACUGGCUUCCUCAAAGGCAAUGCAUGUGAGCUCUGCAGCGAAUAUGAAUGGUAAAUACGUGACGGUUGUGCUCAGGCCUGAUCUCCCAAAUCACCAGCACGGCCAGCAAUCUCCAAUACAUAUUAUCAUGUCUAGAUUAGAACAACUACUGCAAUAGAAUGACUCCUUUUUUUUUGUUACCUUUCAUGCAAGAAUUCAACAUUGCUCAUUUCUUGUUAUUAGGCACACCAUACCUAAUUGUAAAGAUAAAUGACAACAAUAAAUAUAUAGAAACAUCAUGCAUACUAUAGCUUUGGGCACACAAUUAUAAAGGAUUCCGGGACAAACAAGAAUGAAGUGUAAGUGUUUUGCUGAAUACUUUGCUAAAUAUGCACAAGAAACAUGAAUAUGUAUACAAUGCCACCAUAAAGACAAGAAAUAUUUCAGACAUGACUCACAGCUAGUUCCACUUACGUAGUUACAUACCUUAGGCAUCUAUCAAGCCAUGGAUCAUUUGUCAAGCAUAGUAUACACUUAUUUUAGUUGUUUGUUUAUGUGCCAAUAAUAUUAGCUCUGCAGCUCUCGUUUCAUCAAUCUUCUCACCUGAAAGGACAUCAAGCAAUCACUAAUGCAUACAUGAUGGUCUUUAGAGGGGGGAAAUGAGCAUGUAGACGGUAUGGUAUAUACAAUGGAACAAACAAUGAACAACAAUUGCAAUACAUUUUAUAUGUAGUGUGCAAUAAGAGAUGGAGAUAACCUAUCAAAAUAAAAAGAAAGACAUUUUAUAUAACCAUAUAGUAACCUGCAGUUUCCAGUUUUUAUGUCAACUCACCAAUAAAAGAAGCAUCAUCGUCUAAUAGUGGUAUAUGUGUCGAAACCGAUCUACUACGAUCAUUAGUAAAUUUUGGGGUGCUAAAAAUUUUUAACACAAAAUUAUGGCAUGCAUGAUAUCGAAGUCAAUUGCACAAGUAAGAAUUGCUAACAAAGAUGAAGAAAGAGUUCAUGUUAUCUCACAGUUUAUCACAUGGAGAAGGGACAUUUCUUCUUCUUUGUGUGUAAUAAAACUCCCUCUUUUAUUAGUCCUGUGCUACCUCGGUAUUUCAAUUUCUGCACCUGCAAAAGGGUGAAGAUAGAGUUAGGAAGAUAUUCGCGGUAGAAUGAUUAGGGUGGGUUUGGAACGACUUAGGCUUGUGCGUAAGAUAACUUCCUACGUAAGCUCUAGAUAAGACGUAGUGAGAAUAAACUGUGAGUAAUUGUAAUUGUAUGUUUGGAACGGCUUAUGAAUUUGGGUUUAUUGCCCUACAUUGCAAUUUAAAAGAUGCAAAGUAUAAAAUACCCCUGAACUUUCAAUUACCACUGUACCAAAUGUUACAGGGCGCUACUGAAUACUUGCCUGUUUCUGAACUUUAACAAUCAAUGGUUUGAUAAACAAUCAGAUAAAAAACUCACAAUGUCACACUCCCCGAUCCAUGACCAGAGUAGUAACCAAUCCACACUAUCCACUAUUUUUGUAGUUGCUGGUCCGUAUACACAUAAUUUAGAGAACAAAACAGCUCUCUCUAGUUGCUUCUCAAUAUACACAUUUAGAGUACGUAAUGGGCCUAGGCUGGCGGUAUAGCCCGUUAGUAUUAGGGUUAAUUAGAGAUAAGGGUCGCUUGCUUAGGGGUCAAGUAAAGCCUUGCUGGGAGUCAAGUAAACCUCUUUAUAUAAAUCAAUCUAAUCAAGCAAGAAUUAAAAAGGAAAUCCUUUCCCUCUUGCCCGGCCGUGGGCAAUAAGGCCCCCGGCCGGCCCUCUCGCACCCUCCUUCUAGCAGCACCAUAACAAUUUGGUAUCAGCUAGCUUCGAUUCGAUCAUGUCUUCACCGCCGCCCAACCCGUCUCUCCUGCUGUCGGUCACCUCGUCGCUUCCGGCGACCACCACGACCGUCGCCCCGCUCCUGCCCGCGCCGGGCUCCUCCGUCGCGCCCGCCCCCGCCGUCCUCACCCCGGAGGAGGUGUCCGGGACGCUGCGGGACCUAACCCAGGCGGUCCAGGAGGUCCGCAUGUUCUUGGCCGGGUCCUACGGGCCGCACCCGGCUGCGCCGCCCAUUGCCACCACCGCGCCGCCGUGGCAGCCGCCGCACCAGGCGGCCUCCGCCGCGCUCGCCGAGCCGCUGCAGCUGCCAUCCACCGCCACCACCGCCCCGCCCUAGCUGUAGUGGCAGCCGCCGCAGCAGCCGCUGCAGCUGCAGCAGCCACCGCCAGUCAGCUCCGGCCCCGCAUCGCCCGCGCUGGCGGGAGUCCCGAUCCACCAGGUCCGGUUCCCGCCCUCGCCGUCACCUCUUUCGUCUUGGAUCGCUACCCGCCACGUGUUGGCGGCAGUGAGGCUGCAGGCUGCUGCGCGCGACCUCCUAGUGCGUCGGCGUGUGCGGGAGAUGUGUGGUCUGCAGCUGCCGCUCCUCCAAAUUGCCCUUCGCUGCGCAAAGGACCUCGAUCUCGUCCGCUGCGUCGGGGAUCUUGGGCAUGCGGUUUCCCCCACGGGCGGUGGGCAUGCUGUUUUCCCCGCGGGCAGCGACCUCAAAGUCUGCGACAUCGGCGGUUGGGGGGGCGCACCCCUCUUCGUCAUUCUCCAUCGCAAGCCCUCCACUCUUACCUGUGCGGUGCAAACCAACAACCAUACACAUGCACUCCUUUUGUCCAGGUGGUGUCCAUGGGAUCCAGGUGGUUGUACACGUGCACGUCCGACGUGCGGAUGGUGUCCACUUUUUGUUAAGGGGUCCAAAAUAAAGCAUCCCAGUCCAUUUCAGGUUGAGAGUAAUAAAACAAGCCGAGAUGUAAAAAGGCUUGUUUUUAGGUGUUAGGUUUGUCUUGCGUCGAGUCAUGGUUAUAAGUUGGUUAGGCCGCAGCUCGAGGACAAGCUGCAUGUCCAGGUGGGGUGUAGUGUUAGAGUACGUCAUGAGCCUAAUGGGCCUGGGCUGGCGGUAUAGCCCGUUAGUCUUAGGGUUAAUUAGAGAUAAGGGUCACUUGCUUAGGGGUCAAGUAAAGCCUUGCUUGGGAGUCAAGUAAACCUCUCUAUAUAAAGAGAGGAGAUGUAUCAAUCUAAUCAAGCAAGAAUUAAGAAGAAAAUCCCUUCCCUCUUGCCCGGCCGUGGGCAAUAAAGCCCCCGGCCGGCCCUCUCGCGCCCUCCUUCUAGUAGCCACAUAACAUAUGACAUAUUGAGAGAGGGACAAUGAACUGCUCAAUCUCAGUUUAGGAACAAAAACUAAUUCUAUUGCAAGAAGAUAAUACCUUGAGAUGGAGGGCAGUUGGCGACCAGGUUGUAAAUCUGGUCACAUGAUUGGGGCCUGUAGGAAAGGAAGAGUAUUUCGUGGGAUUUAAUAGGAGAAGCGAAAGAUCUCUCUCUCCUUCACGUGGCUACUCCCACCCCACCCAUGGCUAGGACUAGGGGCACAUUUGAGGCAAAAGAGCUCUGCACACCCAUUUGCUACGCCUGAACCACCGCAUUCUCGGAACCAAGGCUCUGUCCUCUCCCCCAUCCUCCCACCCACCCAGAGUCAUUCGCCUUCCCCUCCUCUGCGCCGGCAAACAAGAUGAGUCAUGGAGGCGCCGCCGACGUGAAUCUCGGUGACGGCGUGUGCCCAUGUUUCCUGUGCAGUACCAGGAGAAGCAUGCGGCGUGCGCCCCCUGUGCUUCUCCCAUUCGCGGUGCAGGGGGGCGCACGCCACGUACUUCUCCUGGCACUGCACAAGAAACAUUUUUUCUUGAUUUGUUCAAGCAACCGGCGCAUCAAGCAAGGAAGGAGGCAAAGCAAAGAUGAUCCAUUUGUGCAGUACCAGGAAGACGGGAGGCUUGAGGGGCGUGGUGCAGAUGGUGCAGUCUAGCAGGGACUUGUCGAACUGGACAACGAUCUCCCCUCUCGGGGCGGCGGCGGUGGCCACCAUGAUCAUAGCUCCGGCCUCCACUUCUUCGUUGUCCUGCAGACUGUCGUCACCGAGAUUCACGUCGGCGGCACCUCCAUGACUCAUCUUGUUUGCCUGCGCAGAGGAGGGGAAGGCGAAUGACUCUGGGUGGGUGGGAGGGUGGAGGAGAGGACAGAGCCUUAUGGGUGGGGUGGGAGUAGCCACGUGAAGGAGAGAGAUCUUUCGCUUCUCCUAUUAAAUUUUGAAACCUGGCCCGCGAAAUACUCUUCCUUUCCUUAUCAAUUUAAAGUCAGUGGGGGUGUCCCCACUGUCCAGAGCUUCAAAAAAAUACUCUUCCUUUUCAUUUUCUCAGGGCAGCGGCGAGACAAGUUGACGCUGGGAUUGGGGCCGCAUAGACUGGAUCCACAAGGGAGUUCAGUGCAAAUUUGGCCGCAGUGGCGGCGGUUUUUUGCAAAAAUGCCAUGCCUUCCUUUGGAUUCGUUAGAUGAAGAUCUGACCGUCUAAAAUAACAUAUGACAGGCACACCAACAUCAGCAAGUCAGAUUUUUAUCUCUACUCUUAUAAAAAACAGAGUUGGUGAUGAUGGUGUGCCUGCCAUCCUGCAAUAUAGACCGUCCGAUUUAUAUCUGACGGAUAGGAAGGAAACUAUGGCAAUUUUGCAAAAAGAUACCCACACCCCUCUCCACAUUUGCAAAUAAGGCCUUCCCUCGUUCAUCCUUUUCUCUCACAAGAUAAAAAACUACUCACACAAAUGCAUCUUGAUGUUACGUGCAAUGCACGGGCAUCUUGUUAGUAGUAGUAGAGAUACCUUUUAGAUGAAUGAUUCCGUGCAGUAAUCUCCAACAAGAUAUUUGAAUUUUACGUGGGACUUGAACUUUCCGUAGAGCACUCCAAACAGCCGGCUGUGUAGAGCUUCCUGGGUGAGAUAGCAUGUUUGCAUAGCCUCUGUAAGAGUACAUCACUAAACAUGAUAUGUUGUGCGUGCUGAAAACACACCCAUCCUAUUCAGGUGCUAGACGACGCCACGACGAAGUCCUCAAAGCCUUGAACAUUAAGAGGGAUUUGCAAAAUUCUUCGAGCAUCGACUAGAUUAAAGAUAUUUCGAAUGAGCUCCUCGUAACACAAGCCCGAAAGUUGGAUCAAUAAGGUCACUGACCAAGGAUAAAACAGUUUGACCUCUAGGAGUAAUAAUCAUUCUGUCAAGGCUUGAAGGGAUCCAAGGGUUCACAUCCUCUCCAGCCCAAUCCUCCAAAUAUAUCCAAGCUUGAAUGUCUCGAGUCCCUUCAUAAUACUUUGCCAUGUGAAUGAAGAACCAUCUUUAGAACUUGCUUGCAAUAGGCUUCCAUUAGGAUAGUAUUUAAGCCUUAAGCACUUUAGCACAAAGAGAAUUCAGGUUAGAGAUUAAUCUCCAACAUUGCUUAUUCCAAGAUUGGAGGAACGAAGAACCCAUAACGCCCUCACAUUUUGGAAAACACAACUUCCACUAAGAAUACUAGACAAUCUAUAAGAGCAACUCCAACCGGGUGACCCAACCGGACGUGCGCUUUGUCCACCUUUUGUCCGUUUGGAUCGACCGUGCGGACGCCCGUGCCCGCUUUUUCAUUUGGGUCGGUGCGUGCACCCAACACUGGCUCGACCCAUAUUUUUGGGAUGCGGACCUUUUAAAUAAAAGAGUAAUCACGUUCAAAUUUAACAUAAUUAUACAUUAAAAACUGGUCAAAUGCCGACCAAAGUCCACUUAAACAUUAAACAUUAAUUAAACAUAAAAGCCUCGGCGCCGCCGCGCACACUGCCCUAAGCGUCUUCAUUCGCCUGCACCGCCGGCUGGACUGCUUGGUCGCGAGCACGUCGCUCCUCCUCUUCGUGCUCUAGCUGCGUCAGCCGCUCGCCCUCUUCCCGCUCCCUCACCAGCGCUUGGGCCUUCCAAUGCUGGAGGUAGGCUUGCUCCUGCGCCAGCGUCGUGCCCGAGCCACACGGGGGAGGGAGGGGGGGGGGGGCGUUGACCCACUCUCGCAGCUCGCCGGUCUAGACGUAGCGCUCCGCGGGCUCCGCCUCGGCCUUGGGCGCCGGGAGCCUCCUCGGCGGCGACGGCGGAACCACGCAGUCGCCGGCUGCAGAGAGGGUGAGGGCCUCCGCCAACCUAGCCUCGUAGGCCGCCUCCUUGUCCUCCUCCGCCUUGCACCGCUCGUCCUUGAUGGAGGUCUGCAUGGCCGCCGCUAGCGCGGCCUGGUACGCAGCCUCCUCCUCCAGCUGGACCACAGGGGGCGGCGGAGGGUGGUUGUGGUACUGCUGCUGGACGCUAAGGCGGCGUUGCUCCUUGUGCUCGAGGGCAAACCACAUCUCCCAAUCGGGAGAGUUUGGCGCGUACGCCGGAUGCGCGCUGCUCUGGCGUCAAGAGCGCCCGCCGCCUGCGCACCUCCACGGCGUGCGCCCGCCGCAACCGCGGCACCGGGAUCCGUUGUGGAUCCAAAUGCCAGUCGUGCGGCAGGGUGACGUCUGGGUACGGCAGUGGCUGUCGGUACUCCCAGUGCCACCGUGCUUGGUGCAUGGAAUGUGCAGGCGCUGCCUAGCGGGGCGGGCAGGCGCCGGCGCCGGCGGAGGAGGAAGAGCGCGGGAGAAGGAAGCGCAGGGGGUGAACUUCCCCUUGCUCUUGCUGGAGCCGUUGAAGAAACCCAUGGCUAGGGUUUGGUUGUCGACGAGGAGGAAGCACGCGGGGNNNNNNNNNNNNNNNNNNNNNNNNNNNNNNNNNNNNNNNNNNNNNNNNNNNNNNNNNNNNNNNNNNNNNNNNNNNNNNNNNNNNNNNNNNNNNNNNNNNNNNNNNNNNNNNNNNNNNNNNNNNNNNNNNNNNNNNNNNNNNNNNNNNNNNNNNNNNNNNNNNNNNNNNNNNNNNNNNNNNNNNNNNNNNNNNNNNNNNNNNNNNNNNNNNNNNNNNNNNNNNNNNNNNNNNNNNNNNNNNNNNNNNNNNNNNNNNNNNNNNNNNNNNNNNNNNNNNNNNNNNNNNNNNNNNNNNNNNNNNNNNNNNNNNNNNNNNNNNNNNNNNNNNNNNNNNNNNNNNNNNNNNNNNNNNNNNNNNNNNNNNNNNNNNNNNNNNNNNNNNNNNNNNNNNNNNNNNNNNNNNNNNNNNNNNNNNNNNNNNNNNNNNNNNNNNNNNNNNNNNNNNNUUGAGCCUGAAAUGGGUCGGCGUGGACAUGAAGCGGGCACGUUUUGAGUUUGGGUCGGCGCGUUGGGCCGGCGUUUUGAUCUGCGACGACUCAAACGGACACUGGCAGACGAAAUGGGUUGCCCGGUUAGAGUUGCUCAAGUGUCCACCUUUGUGAAGAUUUGAAAACUGUCGUUCAACAAGCAAAUGGGUCAAAAUUGCUCAAUCUGAACAACAUCCACUUUCUUGGGGAGAAGCAUGAUAUCGCCCCCCCCCCCCUGCCAGCAUCGUGUCGUCAACACAUCGGUUUCCUCGCUGGAGAGUUGAGGUAUAUCUUCAGUGGCAUUUUCACCCAGGGAUGGAAAAUUGAAUUACGGAGAGCCAAAAGGACGCUUAUAAUAAUUAGCUGUAUAAGCUUUCAGAUGAUCCUGACCCACAGUGGUUCUCUCAUCUUGUUCAAGCUGGAACAUACAUUCUCUUUUUCCAAUAUUUUUCAUUUGCAAUCAAAUGGAAGAACUUCGUAUUGCUAUCACUCUCACGGACAAGUCUUACUUUUGCCCGCCGAGCCCAAUUAAAUUCUUCCUCUCACUUAGCCUCAAUAUCUGUUGCAGAGAGGGGAAUCGAUUCUGCCUUAAUGUCCAAAGCAUUAACAAUUGCGAGAAGACGAUCUUUUUCUUUCUUGUACUCACCGCUAAUACACUUAUCCCAACCCCCAAGGAAUCGUCUAAGGUGCCGGAUUUUAAAUUGCCACUUCCCAAUGUGUCUUCUUUGACCAUUCAUGACCUACAGUAGCUGUCGUAGUCAAAAAACUGCUAGUGAUUACAUGGGUACUAAUGACCGAACCGAAGCCCAAACUGUUGUGUGGGUAGGGUCAGGUCCGGAUGAACUUGUGAACAUAUCUCACAACGAUUGUAAUGGUCCAGGCUGAGUAAUACAAACUACUUUAAAGGGCAGCCCGAUGCAUGUAGUUUCCGCUUGCAGGGUCUGGGAAAGGGUCCGACCACUUUGGAUGUAUACGCGGCAUUCCCUACAUUUCUGCAAGAGUCUGUUUUCAGGAUUCAAACCCGUGACCUCAUGGUCACAAGGCUCCCCUUCUAAUACAAACUACUUUCUUGCAAAUAAAAAAAAACAUGACAUUUGCUAGUAAUAAGCAGAUGUACACUUUGUUAUUAAGACCUAAACAAAUACGGUGUUGCGGGUAACACAAAGAUUGGCCUAUCUUCAACACGCCAUAUUCUAAAAAAAAAAUCACACAUCAUUUUCUCAGAUGUUGCUUCCAUGCACAUACUGUGCUUUCAUGUCUAUUUUACCCUCGACCAUUCUACGGCUAGUGAGGCAAGUAGGAGAGACUUAACAUUUGCCUACAUUCUGAUCUGAAACCUUUCUUGGAUGUUUACGUUGCUCCAGUAAACAUCUGCAGCAGAAAUCAGGAAGAAAUAGGAAGCGCCAAGUUGGCUUAUAGCCAUUCUUAUCUUCGAUAAAUUAGUCUUAGAAAGCGCUAAAAUUAGUAAAAUUGGUUUUGAUGCGCACGUAGUCACUAUGCUAACCACAGAAGCCACAAGUCAAAUAUAGCUGACGAACUUCAAACCUUUCAGGGACGACCCAAAAAAAGGAACAUGCAUGCCAUGGUUCCCUGACGCUACCCAAAAAGUGUGUGGCUUCCCUUCUGCUCGCACCCCGCCCAUCCAACCCUUUGCUCCAUUUCGUGUCAUGCUUCCUCAUGCUUUGCUUUCCCCUUUGCCCCAUUCUUCCUCCUUCAAGCAUUUUCCCCUUCUCCUUGCAUUUACUUUCUUGCCAAAUUUAGGACAGCCCCCACCAGUUCCUCCUCCAUCUGAUGCAUCAUUCUAUCCUGUGUGUUCCCAAUGGAGUUGUCAGGGUAGGGUAAGGUGUCCAUUUGCACGGGGAAGAGGGAGGAGCGAAUCCUUGUUGCUCGAUCUCUCUUUCCCGUAUUCCUCGACUUCAUUCUUCAUUAUCAUUGCGGCUACUUCAUCUGAAAGGAGGAGCAAAAGAUCCUUUUGUUGAUCCAGGAAGAAAAGAAAAAGGUGGCGCAAGAACAGCUUGCUUGUGUAAUUCAAAUGCCUCUUCCUUGAUUUGGGGAAAAGGGAAGGCUUGCAAAUUCUGAAGCAUGGAGGAGAUGCCAAGCGAGAAGAAACAAAGUGAAUCUGGAUCAAUUAAUUGCGCACCUAGUUCAAGCAGCAGCCAGGGCAUUCCCAAUUCACUGGUGAAUAAAGAUGAAGACCUCGCUAUUGGGGUGGUAACAGAGUUAAAGAAGGAGGGGACGCCCAUUGAACAGAAGGAGGAAAGGGCGUCAACGGCUAUUGACUUGAAGGAGGAGGGUACAGCCACCCAACUGAAGGAGGAAGGGGCUUCCAAGGAGGAUGAGGCAGCUGUUGACUCCAAGGAAGAGGGGGCGAAAACCGAAUUGGAGGAAAAGAUGAUGUUAUCCCAGAAGAGAGACUAUGAGAAGGCUAUCGAACUUAAGGGAGAGGGGACAAAGCUAUUCCAGAGGCGGGAUUAUGAGGGGGCGGCCCUUGAGUUUGAUAAGGCAAUAAAGCUCUUGCCAAAGGGGCACGAUGAUAUCGCCUUCCUCCACUGCAAUAUUGCUGCAUGUUACAUGCAUAUGAAACCUGAGAGUUAUGAACGAGCGGUUGACGAGUGCAACGCAGCACUGGAAGCAUCGCCGAAGUAUACAAAUGCAUUGCUGAAAAGGGCACGAUGCUUUGAAGCAUUGGAUAGGCUGGAUCUGGCUUGUGAGGAUGUGCAGAAGGUGCUGAACUUGGAACCAAACAAUGUCACUGCAUUGGAGCUCUACGAGAGCCUUAGGGAGGAGAUGGAGACAGAAAAUUUGUUGGAGAAUCAGGUUGUGUCACCGGUAGAGCCUAAGGCCGGUUUUUCAAAAGAGAAGAUCCAGAGGAAAGUAUCUCGCAGAUUUAGAAACAAUUCCAUAGUUGAGGAGGUGUGGUUGAUUCACGAUGAUGAUGAGCAAGAGAAUGAUGAAGAUGGCAACGAAGAAGAGUGCAGUGAAGAAAACCACAUGGAGAAUGAUUUAAGCAAUGAAGGAAAUGAUACCCGGGAGAUGCCAUCGAGGCAUAAUCAUGACGAGGAUAAAUGGAACACGGAACAGAACCAGGUGAAGCAUGGUCAGCACAAACUAGGAGCAGAUGAUGAAGGCCAACGACCGCAGCAUGCUCCGCGGGAUGUGGAACAAAUGCACCACAAAGAAACAGAGAGUCAAAAUAAGCAUGAAAAGCCCCUCAAAGAGAUAAAGGUGAGAAGUGGUCAGGAUCAGCAGGUAAUGCAUACAAAGCAGAAUCAAGUCGCCGAUAUGGAUGUGCGUCAAAAGCAAAUUGAGGAUGUACCAACCACUAGUCGUAGCAACCAAGAAAUUCACACUGAAAUGUAUGAAAGGUUUAUCAAUGGCAACCAAGCAAGACGCUCCUUACAGCGGCAUACUAGUCGUGGAGGGGACAAGCAGGAAAAGCAAACUUCAGUUAAAGUAGCAAGUCCUGGGGGAGAUGAGCACCAAAAACAGAAGCGCGCAUAUCCUACCGAUGGAGAAACAAAGACUGUAAAGUUUGUUAUGGGAGAUGACAUAAGGAUUGCACUUGUUCCAGAAGACUGUAGUCUACGGCAAGCGAUAAACGUAGCUCGGUGUAAGUACAGUCCCCACCUGAAGGCAAUGCUUCUUAAGUUUCAGGACAUAGAGGGUGACUUGGUGACCAUUACAUCAACUGAGGAACUAAGGUGGGUUGAGGAUCUGAAGCAAGGACCCGCUCGGCUGUACAUAAAAGAAGUAAGUCCUGAGCGCGAGAUCACCAAGGACAUCGUCAUGCCCAAUAUUUCUACGGCAACACUGGAAAGAAAGCAUAGCAUCUCUGAGUGCGGAAGCGCUAGACACCCAGCAGAAGACAAGAGCUCAUCAUAUGCUGAUGACUGGAUGGUGCAGUUCGCUCGUUUAUUCAAGAACCAUGUUGGUUUUGAUUCUGAUGCAUUAGUGGAUCUCCGUGACCUCGGUACGCGGCUCUGCAUUGAGGCAAUGGAAGACACCAUCACAAGCGAAGAAGCCCAGGAGAUAUUUCAUGCCGCAGAGGCAAAAUUUCAGGAAAUGGCAGCUUUAGCAUUGUUUAACUGGGGCAACAUACACAUGUCUCGCGCAAAGAAACGACUAUUUUUAUCAGAGGAUGCUUCAAAGGACUCUGUACUUUCCCAGGUCAAAACCGCAUAUGAACUGGCAUGCGCUGAAUACGCCAAAGCUGGAAAGAAGUUUGAAGAUACUGUGGAUGUAAAGCCAGACUUUUAUGAAGGCCUUAUUGCGCUUGGAAAUCAACAGUUUGAGCAAGCAAAACUUUCUUGGCGUUAUGCAGAUGCUUGUAAGGUAGACAUGCGAACUGAAGUACUAGAGCUAUUCAAUCGUGCUGAGGAUAAUAUGGAAAAAGGAAUGGAGAUGUGGGAGGGAAUAGAAUACUUGCGACUAAAAGGGUUAUCUAAAUCAAAAAAGGAGAAAAUCCUACUGGAUAAGUUGGGAUUGGAUGGGCACCAAAAAGAUAUAACAGCAGAUGAGGCGUUUGAGCAAGCUUCAAAUAUGCGAUCACAGCUAAACAUUUCAUGGGCUACCAUUCUUUAUGAGCGAUCAGUAGUAGAAUUCCAGUUAGGUCUUGCUAGCUGGGAGGAGAGUCUCACCGAAGCAAUUGAGAAAUUUAAGACCGGUGGAGCUUCGCUGGCAGAUAUCAGUGUAAUGAUAAAGAACCAUUGUGCGAAUGAGAAAACUCAAGAAGGUAUGAUGUAAUCGUGUGACCUUUUUCUGUAAUUUCUUUGUUCCUCUGUUGCUAAAUCAUCAAUACCAAAGCUUGUAUAUGUACGCCAUGUAUGCUAAUAAUUUCAUGCUUCUUAUAAUGAUUAUUCUGGGAAAUGUAAAGCUUCUGCAUGCAGUUCAAGUUUUACUACCUCAUUCAUUGAGAAAGACAAUCUAAACCCUAACAUAGGGAGCCAUCUUCGAAUAUAUUUAGUGGACCACUAGUGUUAACCAAAAUUGGUGGAUGGCUAUUUGUAAUGGUAGAAAAAAAAAGACUACGACACAUUUCCAAAUAUCCAACUUAUACAGACUUGUAUGUUAUCGCGAAGAAACACAAACAUUAGGAUCUGCCAUAGUCAGUGUGUAGCUUGCCACUAUCCAAAGACAAUUGGUUUCAUCAGCGGAUAGUAAGGUAUGUCCACAACAACUGUCAUGCUACAAUUUGUAAUAAUAGAUUCCGGAAGCAACUUCAGUAUUACUUGAGAAAUGUUUAUGGACAAGAAAAUCAGAUAUCAGUAAUUUGUCUUGGUCAUGUUAUGCCUUACAAAUAGCAAAAAAAUACAUUUUAACUUAACUAAUCUGCUAUGCUAGAAGUUCGAAAUUUUAGAUCCUCUUAACUACAUUCAAGGGCAUAUAAGUUGUUAAGAACUUUCUCUUUGUUAUUCAGGAUUGAGCUUCAAGAUUGAUGAGAUAGUUCAAGCAUGGAACGAAAUGUACGAUGCUAAAAAGUUGGAAAAUGGUAGUUCUUCUUUCCGUCUUGAACCUUUAUUUCGAAGACAGCCUUCGAAGCUGCAUAAUGUACUAGAGCACAUAAAGUACACAUGAGCUUGUAUUUAACAUAGGACUUGAUGCUGUCGACAUGGAUACGAAUGUUGAUACUAAUUGAAAAAGGUAAUUUCAUUCUUUAAUGAGAUGUAUUAUUGAGGUUAUUCCAAGAUAUCUAUUUGAUGUAAUACACUAGUCCUAGAAAAGCAACCGCGGCAACUUUUUCACCAUGCGGAAUCAUUAAAUGUAAACCAUAAUAAUGACUGGAUAUAUAAAAAUUAAGAAUGUGAUACAAUAAAUCACAAUAUCCCUUAUACAGUGACCAAAGCAAUAAUACCAUAAUGAUAUAACGAAAUGAAGUGUUGUGGGCACUGGGCCACAUUUCACUCUAAUACUCCAACCCUUUCCAAUCAAGCAUCUCCCCCUCUAGACUUCCUCGCUAAGCAGCAACGAUGCUGAAAGAAACUCGAUGGUCAUGCCGGGGACCCUGGAGAACCGUCUCUGAAGAGUUCUAGCGUCCACUAGCACUGGAGGUGGUGGCAUCUAGAUCAGGGCAUCGCCCCUGGGAUAGGAUGACAACAGUGGGUGGCCGAAAAGGCGCAACAUGUACAUCUCCUUUAGUCAUUAGAUCCAUUGAUGGUGACAGCAUGGCAAGGGCGGAGAUGCUUUGAGGAGGCCACUAGCUAGCUCAGUUUUUCAUUGUUCAGGCCUGUCAACAGAGCAGAUCAGUGGACAGCUUUCAUAGUUUGGAUUGUAAUGUUGAAGGUUAAAUGUUCAGGGCUAAAAACCGGACUUCUGCAAGAAGAGCUGAAAAGAAGAUGGUGUUUUCUAUAUUGUCGCAAAAUAAUGUAUUAUAGAGAUGUUCUGCUUUUACUGUUAGUGGAAUCGGUUCUUACACUGAUUAUAGUUCCUCUGUUGCUGAAGAGGAUGCUCUAUAUAGAUGACCAAAGAAACAAAGCUUUGUCCCAAGAUUGAUUACCAGAAUUGAGCAAUGGGUAUUAGAAUAGUUAUAUGUUUGGUUCAUCAAUUAUUGCCGCGGGUUUAAAUUGCAACCCAGUUUCAAUGAUGUUUUAUUUGCAAGUCCAACCGUCAAUACCGUAACAUUGUACCCUUUGCCCCAAUAGAAGGGUAGCUUUGAGCUGAGGUGGACUUUGGCUAACUGAUGUGGCAGCCACAUCAGCUCUCCACAUCCAAAAUAAAAAAACAUCAUUACAAGAUUUUUUAUUGGCCCUACGUGGCAUCCCUCCCGUACCUUAUUAUCUCCCCUUACUCGUCUCUCUCCCUUGUCUCGGCAAGUGGAAACAUAUGCCAUGGAUGCAGUGGCAUCUCCUCUUCUUCAUUACACACUCUAGCAUCCCUCAGCCGCUUGCUUUCUCAUUCACCCUAGGAAACAUUUGUUCAGCAUUCUCCAUAUCGUCUAGAAGUUAAGGACCUUCACAGUCUGGGUACUCCCGGAAGAUGUCAUUUGGUGGCAGAAGCAUCACUGAGCGGAUACUCCACUCUAAGAUCCCAAGGGUGUCACUUGGUGGUACCCGGAUCUGCAAGAUGAGAAAUUUCACAUCACCUCCUGGCCAUGCCAUCCACUUCCUGGUUAUCUAUCUCCAGUGAGGGACUGUCCGCCUACGCCUGCCAAUGCUAUGGAGGUAUGAAUUGAUGAAUAACACCAUGUCCAACACCUAGAGCAGCCUGGUGGGUGAUGUCAAUGUGUUAUUCUGUUAGUAUUAUUUUGAUUAUUGGAGAAACUUGAGUUCUCAGCAUAUCUUUUCCAUAUGUUACAGGCUCUGUCAACUCAUCUUGUCUUGAUGUGUUUUGUGAGCACACCAAGCCAUGCUCAAAUACGAAAUUAUCUUGACAUGUUCUGCAGGCUGUUGACUGUUCCGAAUUGUCUAUAUUCAUGAACUGAAACAGAUGAUAUUUCCAAUUCAAGCUACAAGGGGUGUUCAGGAUACACUUUGCAAAGCUUACAAGAUAGUACUUAUUUCACAAGCUGCAGCUCUGUUUUACAGAUGCGAGAGACCCAACUUCGCAUUAUUAGAUACAUAGUUAAUCUCAACUGUUGUAGACAUAUAAGAGUUAAAGUUCAGUGUGAAAGUUUAUAGUUUUGGAAUGAUCGAAUGGUAUGUACUUUAUUAGAAGGAUUUGGCAUAUGUACUCUGCUGAAAAUAGAGUAACAGUUCACAUCCACUAUUUGUGUGCAUGAACAGUACUGGGUUAGCAGCACAGAUGGAACCUGACAAUAGAUUAGGGAUAUGAUUCGAUAAGUUUCUCUCUAUUAGAAAUAUGCUUCCUUAGAUUUAGAGAUCGAUUCUUAGUGGUUAAUUAUUAUCCCCAAAUUGCGAUUUUCAGCUAUGAUCUCUUUCUUUGGUACAUAUCGUAGAUCCGUUCGGUCCUCCUUCGCCUGGUGUUAUUUUACUUCUAAUAACUUGCUUCAAUGGAAUUUUACUCCAGGUACAAACUAUCAUGCAUUGCACAUAUGCAGAAAGGAGAAAGGCACUCCUAUUGAUGAUUUUUUUAAAUAUUUACUGUACAAGGGAACUGCAUAAUUUUGAAGGAUUCAUGGAGCCAGAGGCACUCAACUUAAUGAACAACCAUCCGAUCCUACUCUACUAGAAGAGUUCUGCAUUUUUUUGUUCAGUUAUAUGAAAUAUUCAUUCAUAUAUCUCGGUUACCUAAAACUGCACAUGCAUCUUAGGAUGCAGAGGCCAGGGGUAAUAAAAGCUUCUAUUUCUAAAAGAUAACCCACAGCUGCACAUUACUCAUUGUAAAAUUCAACUCCAGGAAGUGUGCUAAUUUAAGGUCAUAUAGAGUGAGGUGGAGACAAUAAGAUUUAUUUAUUUUACUUUGUGGGAAAUGACCCUGUAUGUUUCAGGAGAGCUACAAGGAUACAAUACAGACGAAUGAUGACUCAUGAAUGAUUAACUAAUUACUCAAAGAGGAACAAGAGAAGAGUUAAGUAUAAGCUCACAACCUCAAGAGAGGCCAAAGCAAUCCUACUAACGACAGAACAACUGGAGGGCACAACAAAUUGAGAUCAGCGAGGCUACUCCCCUUCCUGCUUAUAUGUUCAACUGGAUGCGCACCAGUUUCUAGCACUCGCGUAGCAAACCUGAUCCUAUACACAAGAGCGCAAGGGUUUGACGGUAACCUGGGAUCUGAGGAGUGAAGAGAGAGUGGCCGAGUGUUACGUCCCUCUUCUCGAUCUAUUCCACCAUGGAUCUGGAUACAAGGUCUUUGGAAGGAAUUGGGAAAGGGAGUUAGUCUUGGAGAGGGAGAUGGGGUUCGAGAGUGGGAGGAAGGGGAGAAAUGAAUACAACCGAUUAGAGCAUCUGCAAUAGUUACAACAGAUUAGACAUCUCUACGAUUAAAACAGAGUCGGACGUCGUUUUCGUUCGACCUCAUCCCUUGCGUGAGAUCCACCCCUCGUACUCCCGCAGAGAAAUCGCAGCAAAUAC